RNAcentral lists this ribosomal RNA (465 nucleotides) under Vreelandella stevensii. RNAcentral's name for it is "partial 16S ribosomal RNA". It matches the Rfam family "Bacterial small subunit ribosomal RNA", at positions 338 to 795 of the family's 1533-position model. Lineage: Bacteria; Pseudomonadati; Pseudomonadota; Gammaproteobacteria; Oceanospirillales; Halomonadaceae. The record is from RNAcentral.
CCUACGGGUGGCAGCAGUGGGGAAUAUUGGACAAUGGGGGCAACCCUGAUCCAGCCAUGCCGCGUGUGUGAAGAAGGCCCUCGGGUUGUAAAGCACUUUCAGUGAGGAAGAACGCCUGGUGGUUAAUACCCAUCAGGAAAGACAUCACUCACAGAAGAAGCACCGGCUAACUCCGUGCCAGCAGCCGCGGUAAUACGGAGGGUGCGAGCGUUAAUCGGAAUUACUGGGCGUAAAGCGCGCGUAGGUGGCUUGAUAAGCCGGUUGUGAAAGCCCCGGGCUCAACCUGGGAACGGCAUCCGGAACUGUCAAGCUAGAGUGCAGGAGAGGAAGGUAGAAUUCCCGGUGUAGCGGUGAAAUGCGUAGAGAUCGGGAGGAAUACCAGUGGCGAAGGCGGCCUUCUGGACUGACACUGACACUGAGGUGCGAAAGCGUGGGUAGCAAACAGGAUUAGAUAUCCCAGUAGUC